This 144-nucleotide unclassified non-coding RNA is filed under the name soil metagenome. RNAcentral's name for it is "partial internal transcribed spacer 1". The record is from RNAcentral.
UAAUAGUGUUUUAUGGCACUUUUUAAAUCCAUAUCCACCUUGUGUGCAAUGUCAGUCGAUCUUCUUCAUGGAGAUCGACCAAACAUCAACCUUUAUCUUUUAACUCUUUGUCUGAAAAAUAUUAUGAAUAAACAAUUCAAAAUA